Molecule: long non-coding RNA, 787 nt
Organism: Beta vulgaris subsp. vulgaris (sugar beet)
Lineage: Eukaryota; Viridiplantae; Streptophyta; Magnoliopsida; Caryophyllales; Amaranthaceae
Exons: 2
Source: RefSeq, a predicted model, not a curated record
AUUGCAAUAUGAAAAAAGUAAAUACUUCAACAUGAUUAGUGAUGACAAAUGGGUAAUUAGAGUGUCUAAUAAAAAUUGAUCUACAACAAAAUCGUGGCAAGUUGAUCCAAUACUUCUGUUUUUCAUUGUUAUUUUGUUUUUGUUUUGUUUUUUAGUGAAAAAAGAAUUGCAAUUAAAAUAGUACGUAAGAAAAGGAGAACUGCGGCUGCCCUCAGCAGUCUAUAUAUUGAGUGAAAUACAAUAGGAAAUGAUCACUACAUUCAUUGCAUAAGCACAUUAUUAAAUUGCUAAUCGAUCACUAUAAACACAAAAAAUGGCACAGAAGGGAAACGGUGCAGCUGCAAUAGCAAUGGUACUAAGUUGCCUUAUGAUAAUCUCAUUGUUUGCUAAUGCAGCAAGGGUUCCGUCGUCCCCUUUCCCCGUCACACAAUCCAAUCCACAAGCUCAUACUAAGGAGAUUGUCUAUUAUCCUCAAGGUUGCCGGUGUUGCUGGUUUAAUUGGAAGCCCACUAUCACAUGUGGAGCCGUAUGUUGUGGAGAUGGAUGCAGUUGCACCUAAUCUGCACCAAUUGCACCUACCCAUCUGAAGUGGCAUCGUCCGAAUUCCUAAAGCCGCUUUAAGCUUUACUUUGCAACAUGUACCUCUCAAAAGUAUUGCUUUAGUUCUAUUUUCUCAUAGAAUCAAGCUGGAGGAUUUACCUCUCAGCGAUUUAUUUCCUUGCAUUUUGACAAACUUGUAUUGGUACCGUGGUUUAAUUCAUAAUGAAAUCAUGUUCUGUUAGUAUAA